This 346-nucleotide unclassified non-coding RNA is filed under the name soil metagenome. Its description in RNAcentral is "partial contains 5.8S ribosomal RNA, internal transcribed spacer 2, and large subunit ribosomal RNA". The stretch from base 1 to 120 matches the Rfam family "5.8S ribosomal RNA", at positions 35 to 154 of the family's 154-position model. The record is from RNAcentral.
GAUGAAGAACGCAGCGAAAUGCGAUAAGUAGUGUGAAUUGCAGAAUUCAGUGAAUCAUCGAGUCUUUGAACGCACAUUGCGCCCCCUGGUAUUCCGGGGGGCAUGCCUGUCCGAGCGUCAUUACUGCCCUCAAGCCCGGCUUGUGUGUUGGGUCUCGUCCCCCUUCCCGGGGGGACGGGCCCGAAAGGCAGCGGCGGCACCGCGUCCGGUCCUCGAGCGUAUGGGGCUUUGUCACCCGCUCUGUAGGCCCAGCCGGCGCUUGCCGAUCAACCAAAACUUUUUUCCAGGUUGACCUCGGAUCAGGUAGGGAUACCCGCUGAACUUAAGCAUAUCAAUAAGCGGAGGA